Panicum virgatum (switchgrass) is the source of this 1081-nucleotide long non-coding RNA. RefSeq lists it as uncharacterized. Lineage: Eukaryota; Viridiplantae; Streptophyta; Magnoliopsida; Poales; Poaceae. The transcript has 2 exons. The record is from RefSeq and is a predicted model, not a curated record.
UCUUCUCCUAUCGCUCUUCUCCUAUCGGUAGUGUGCCGCCGCCUCCUCUUCUCCUAUUGUCCCUGGUGCCAUCUCCUAUCAUCCCUAGCACUGCCCUGCUCCGGAGCCUUGGAGCCCAAAUUGGUGAACCUCUCCACCCACGACAGCUGCUGCCCCUCUCCAUCGUCGCUGAGUGCUCGUGCUUGUUGACCAUUUUCUUGGUCAGGCCCUUCCAAGAUUCACAAAGAAAUUCCUCAUGCCUCCUUGAUCCCUGCUAUUCAGGUUUGAUAAAUCCUAGUGGCGAGCGUGUGACGCCGGAUUCUCGACAAGGUCAAGACAAGUGCAAUGACGAACUUCUUGAUAUGUGAAAUGUUGUGGCUUUCUUGCUGCCCUUGAGUGAUGUUUAUUCAAUGACUUUAUCCCAUAUAUCAAUUCCUUUAAGCUUCUUGUUAUAGUUUUUUGAUUCUAUCAUAAGUUCAAGAUCUGUGUGUUGGCUUUCAUAUCACUCAAGUGCCGGGGGUUUGUAUAAACACCGGUUGUGCAAUUCGGUUCUUAUGUUCAGGUUUCUGUGAAUAAGUGUUGGUCCCACUUAUUCAGCUUUACCGGUAAAUACUAAGGAAUUUUCAGGUGACGUCCGUUUCAGACAGAAACUACUAUUUCAUUGUUGUUCAUUGAUUAUGGAUUUCCGUUGUUCAUGUACCUGCAGUCGUUUUUCUGGUUCCGAAUUGUGCUUGCUGAGUAUUUUUACUCACUCUUGUGUUUAUUUGGCUUUUAGGUACUCGCUGACCAGGUUGCAUGGGAUAAGAGUAGCCACUUCAUGAUGAGCAUGCACACACAUUGCCAUCCAUUGAAAUAAAUGUCUAGACUCGAUAUUUCUUUUGACAUUGAGAUCUGUCAUGUGGUCGUUUGGAUGUCGCCUAAGUUUGUUCGGUCAUGUUGGUCGAUGUGGAGUUCUUAAUACUGUAAUUUUUUUAUGGGCCAUUUGCAAAACUGCCAUUGUUUUUAGAUCCAAUUGCACGUUUGCCCUUGAUUUUUUAACUUUGCACGUUUGCCCCUGUUUUUAGUCUUCCAGUUGCAAGACUGAUCCUAUUUUAUUACAAAA